Molecule: small nuclear RNA, 107 nt
Organism: Equus asinus (donkey)
Lineage: Eukaryota; Metazoa; Chordata; Mammalia; Perissodactyla; Equidae
Source: Ensembl
ACACUCACUUCAGCAGCAUCUGUGCUAACACUGGAAGUAUGCAGAGAAGAGUAGCAUGGUUCCUGCACGAGGGUGAUGCGCAAAUUCAGGAAGCGCUCCGUACUUUU